RNAcentral lists this ribosomal RNA (654 nucleotides) under uncultured bacterium. RNAcentral's name for it is "bacterial SSU rRNA". It matches the Rfam family "Bacterial small subunit ribosomal RNA", at positions 105 to 755 of the family's 1533-position model. The record is from RNAcentral.
GGUGAGUAAUGUCUGGGAAACUGCCCGAUGGAGGGGGAUAACUACUGGAAACGGUAGCUAAUACCGCAUAACGUCGCAAGACCAAAGAGGGGGACCUUCGGGCCUCUUGCCAUCGGAUGUGCCCAGAUGGGAUUAGCUAGUAGGUGGGGUAACGGCUCACCUAGGCGACGAUCCCUAGCUGGUCUGAGAGGAUGACCAGCCACACUGGAACUGAGACACGGUCCAGACUCCUACGGGAGGCAGCAGUGGGGAAUAUUGCACAAUGGGCGCAAGCCUGAUGCAGCCAUGCCGCGUGUAUGAAGAAGGCCUUCGGGUUGUAAAGUACUUUCAGCGAGGAGGAAGGCGUUGUGGUUAAUAACCGCAACGAUUGACGUUACUCGCAGAAGAAGCACCGGCUAACUCCGUGCCAGCAGCCGCGGUAAUACGGAGGGUGCAAGCGUUAAUCGGAAUUACUGGGCGUAAAGCGCACGCAGGCGGUCUGUCAAGUCGGAUGUGAAAUCCCCGGGCUCAACCUGGGAACUGCAUCCGAAACUGGCAGGCUAGAGUCUUGUAGAGGGGGGUAGAAUUCCAGGUGUAGCGGUGAAAUGCGUAGAGAUCUGGAGGAAUACCGGUGGCGAAGGCGGCCCCCUGGACAAAGACUGACGCUCAGGUGCG